CCCAACUUUGUUUCAUUGAUUUCAGACCUUUGCGCUCCUGUCGCCUUUGCGGAUUUGUAGGGUGGAAGAAAACACAGACAGUCGGACAUUCAUUUAUCCGAAGUGUGGAGAUUAAAAACGAAAACUAAAAAGUUUGAGAGUGAGAAAACUUUUAUCUGGAGUCAUGUGUCAACGUUAUGAGUGGAGACUAAAGAAAAGGGAGUCAGAGCCGGGAUGUUACUGCGUAAAAGUUCGCAAAAUGUGGGACCACCAACUGAUGGAAGGAGGCAGUGGAGGUGUGGCUGCUUGUUGAGGGGCUAGGCACGUGAGGUGGAAUCCUCCCGAUGCAUGCGAGUGUACACACCGGGCAUAGGUAGAUUGCACCGUUUAGUGUGAGUGAGGUCUGCAGUGAAAUCACAUGGAUGCUUUCACAGUGGAGACAAUAUUCUUCCAAGCGGGGCUGGGGAGUGCGAGGCAUCAACAAGUUCUAAAUAUGGAAAAGGAGAAUAGACCCCACGAGGUGACAGAGGAUAAAACUGAAAACUGUGAGCUGGAGAGAUGGGCGCAUACUCUGGCUUAUGUUCAUCUGAGGGAGUCGAGGAGCUGCAGGAGACAAACAGGAUGUCUGUGGGAGGACAGAUGAGAGAGGGGUGCAGUUUCCUCAGCGCAGCGAGGUCUGGCUGCCAGAGAGGCUGCGGAGUGCACUGGCUGUGGCCUCUGCUGACUGGCUUUCCACACAGCGUCUGUGGAGGCAGAGAUAAGCGAUUUAUGGAGGGGGCUGGAGAAUAUCUCAGCUGUCGUGGGGGAAGAGGGAGGACACACCCUGGACAAGACGUCAGUCUGUCCCAGGCAGGCAACAGGCAACCAUUCAAUCCCACAACCAAUUUAGAAUCACCAAUUAAACUAACCCAUGCAUGUUUUUGGACUGUGGGAGGAUGCUGGAGUACCCAGAAAGAACCCACACAAGCACAGGCAGAACAUGCAAUCACCAAACAGAAAGGCCAGAGCCACGAAUUGAACCUAGGAUCUUUUUACUGUGAGGCAACAGUGCUAACCACCAUCACCACUGCACCAGCCCAACUAAACUCAUGACAGGAAGUAGCUCCCCCUAAUUUCUACCUAAUGCUUAAUUCAUGGUCACCACAUUGGUUGCUGCAUGUGCCAGCUGUGACAUCAUCACAGAAUCAUCACUAUUCAGUUGAUUCAUACUAAAUUUUUUGCAGUCUUCUGAGCGACAGGUGUCAAAGGAACAAGUGAAGAAACACUUUAUAAUAUGUAUGUGUCUAAGGGUGUACUUCCCCUGUUAUUGAAUGGAAUUUCAAAGUAUUUUAUCUGAAACUAAAAUGUAUAUAUAUUUACCUACAAAUACGUAAAGGUACCCCACAAUAAUAGGGUAAAGUAAAAGUAAAGUAAGACCGUUUAAAUAGUGUGUAAGUAAUUUUAAUUAAUUCAUUAGCAAUUUUACAUAGCUUCAGGUAUUUUACAAGAAAGAAGAAAUAAUUACAUUGAAGGUCAAUUUAGGUAAUGCAUAAAUAAUUAAAUAAGUGAAUAGGAAAGAAGUGCCUAAAUUCUGGCUACUUUACAGGAAAGGAGACACACACAAUACUAUAAGCAAUUUUAAGUAACUUCAUGUAUUUUACAGGAAAGAAAAAAUAAUUAGAUUGUAAGUAAUUUAGGUACUGCAUAAGUAUUUUUAAGUAGUACAUCUAGGUAUGGUGUAUAUUUGUCCAUGAUGGAUGUUAUAUUUU
Molecule: long non-coding RNA, 1727 nt
Organism: Oreochromis aureus
Lineage: Eukaryota; Metazoa; Chordata; Actinopteri; Cichliformes; Cichlidae
Source: Ensembl